This 520-nucleotide long non-coding RNA is filed under the name Theobroma cacao (cacao). Its description in RNAcentral is "long non-coding RNA (TCAC_LNC000028)". Lineage: Eukaryota; Viridiplantae; Streptophyta; Magnoliopsida; Malvales; Malvaceae. The record is from RNAcentral.
UCCUAUGUAGUCUACUAUUCCUCUCCAUCCAAAUUUUGUAGAUACAAGCACUCCAAGGUAGUCUUAAGAUAACAGAUAUAAAUGUCUUUCCCUUUAAUCUGUGCUGAGCCCAAGUAAGUUCAUUAUUCUAGUCUCCAGUGUUUCUAGUCAAGCCACAAAGUUGCAUUACCUUCUCCCAAAUUUGCUUACUGAAGGAGCAAGAGAAAAAUAAGUGAUCUCGUCUCCUCAGCAUUACCACAAGAUGAGCAGGCAGCAUCAAUCAAACACCUGGACCUGAUCCUUCCUUUGGUAAAAAGCCUAUCGAGGACAGCCAUCCAGGCCAUGAGAACAUGCUUGGGAAACCGUAUGAGCCUAGGCCAAGCAACCUUCUCCUGCUCAUCUCUGACAAUAUUCUAAGUCUUUUCAGUGGUGUAAGAAACAGCUAAAAUGAACCAAACCCUAUUUCCUUGUUGCUAUGUAACCAAUUGAAAGGGCAAGACUUCUCAAAGCUUCCUCCGAGUGCACUGCUACCAAAAGUAGG